Molecule: ribosomal RNA, 473 nt
Filed under: uncultured organism
Description: partial 16S ribosomal RNA
Rfam family: Bacterial small subunit ribosomal RNA
Source: RNAcentral
ACUCCUGCGGGAGGCAGCAGUGGGGAAUUUUGGACAAUGGGCGAAAGCCUGAUCCAGCAAUGCCGCGUGAGUGAAGAAGGCCUUCGGGUUGUAAAGCUCUUUUGUCAGGGAAGAAACGGUGAAAGCUAAUAUCUUUUGCUAAUGACGGUACCUGAAGAAUAAGCACCGGCUAACUACGUGCCAGCAGCCGCGGUAAUACGUAGGGUGCAAGCGUUAAUCGGAAUUACUGGGCGUAAAGCGUGCGCAGGCGGUUUUGUAAGUCUGAUGUGAAAUCCCCGGGCUCAACCUGGGAAUUGCAUUGGAGACUGCAAGGCUAGAAUCUGGCAGAGGGGGGUAGAAUUCCACGUGUAGCAGUGAAAUGCGUAGAUAUGUGGAGGAACACCGAUGGCGAAGGCAGCCCCCUGGGUCAAGAUUGACGCUCAUGCACGAAAGCGUGGGGAGCAAACAGGAUUAGAAACCCUGGUAGUCCCAUG